GCUGAAGAACGUAGUGAAAUGCGAUAAGUAAUGUGAAUUGCAGAAUUCAGUGAAUCAUCGAAUCUUUGAACGCACCUUGCGCUCCUUGGUAUUCCGAGGAGCAUGCCUGUUUGAGUGUCAUUAAAUUCUCAACCAUUAUCAACUUUUGCUGAUAAUGGCUUGGAUGUGGGGGUCUAUUUUGCUGGCUUCUCAGAUAGUCAGCUCCCCUUAAAUGCAUUAGCCGGUGCCCCGCGUGGACUGUCUAUUGGUGUGAUAAUUAUCUACGCUAUGGACAUCUGCAAUCAUAUGGGUUUGCGCUGCUUCUAACAGUCUGUUGAUUCAGACAAUACAUGACAAUUUGACCUCAAAUCAGGUAGGACUACCCGCUGAACUUAAGCAUAUCAAUAAGCGGAGGA
This 395-nucleotide unclassified non-coding RNA is filed under the name soil metagenome. Its description in RNAcentral is "partial contains 5.8S ribosomal RNA, internal transcribed spacer 2, and large subunit ribosomal RNA". The stretch from base 3 to 120 matches the Rfam family "5.8S ribosomal RNA", at positions 37 to 154 of the family's 154-position model. The record is from RNAcentral.